GCGGGUAUCGUAUAAUGACUAUUACCUCAGCCUUUCAGGCUGAUGAUGCGGGUUCGAUUCCCGCUGCCCGCUGCA
This 75-nucleotide transfer RNA is filed under the name Salmonella enterica. RNAcentral's name for it is "tRNA-Glu". It matches the Rfam family "tRNA". From Rfam's summary of the family: Transfer RNA (tRNA) molecules are approximately 80 nucleotides in length. Their secondary structure includes four short double-helical elements and three loops (D, anti-codon, and T loops). Lineage: Bacteria; Pseudomonadati; Pseudomonadota; Gammaproteobacteria; Enterobacterales; Enterobacteriaceae. The record is from RNAcentral.